RNAcentral lists this long non-coding RNA (1132 nucleotides) under Papio anubis (olive baboon). Its description in RNAcentral is "lncRNA (ENSPANG00000044444.1)". Lineage: Eukaryota; Metazoa; Chordata; Mammalia; Primates; Cercopithecidae. The record is from RNAcentral.
AAUAGUUUAGGGAUAAAUUGAAGAGAAAAUAAUCAGUUACAUGUAUAGAGAAAACAAGAAUAAGGGUGAAACCAAUCAAAGCAUGUGGUAGAGGCCAGGGUUGGGAAUAGGGGAGAUAAACAGACAUUGUAUAGACACCAUAUCAACCAGGGAACAAUCACAGAAGUAGAGUCAUUGAGCCAGAUUUAUUGUACGGAUUGGACCUUUUACAAUUGUGGAAGCUAACUCAUGUAUGUAAGACUGUUGCUUCUGUGUUUCUUGCUAGAGCCUGAAAUACCCACAGGGAAGGCAGUUGGGAAGAAAGCCAAACAUGAUGUAGGAAAAGCAAGGACAAAGGGGAAAUCUCUGAGAACGGAUUGGAAUCGACACUAGCCUCUCACCACCUCCAGUCCUCUGGCUUUGAUGAGGUGGGGGUGGCCUGUAGGAGAAACUGAUGUUCUUCAUCUCAGAGCUGAGCACACACCUGGCCUGGGAUUUAGAGGAGCUGAAGGUGGGAAUGUGGCACAAACUUAAGAAGCUAAACUUCAGCUUCUGUCCCACAGCAAAAAGAUUAAUCACGCAAUUUUGGCAGAAAAUGAACGACUAGUAUGCUUGCUGCAACACAGGACUUGAAUGUAGCAAGUACAUGAACUAGUUUCAGUUAAGUUUUAGGCUCUAGAAAAUGCAUUUGAAUCUGAGGAGAAAAAAGUAAGUAUAUAUGUGGCUUUAAAUUCAACCAUUCCUUGGAAGACUUUCUACAAUGCUGGCAGCAUUUAUGAAAUAGUUAUAUUUAUUUCUUUUUGGAAUACAUAUUUUUUCUCUUAUAAACAACUAUAUAUAAUGUAAGGGCAAUCAUAAUUAACCAGAGAAAGCCACAUGAUGCAAUAAACCAUCUGAGCACUCUUUUGGCCUCUGUUAUAAUUUACUGUAUUCAAAGCUUUUGGUGAAUUGUGUGGGUGGUAACAUUAUGAGUUUUUCAAUAUAUCACUAAGUAUAUUUAGAAUGCUUAAUUGAAGCUUAACCUUUAUUUUGUUCAAUACAUGUUGUUUCUAGCUAAUAGUUUUGGGGAAAAGAAUCCCCUAGGUCAAAGUCUUAUAUUUAGCUGCUUCUGUUUUCUUUUAAAGCUAGAAAAAUGAAGGGUGUGAAUGAAUUG